RNAcentral lists this ribosomal RNA (253 nucleotides) under uncultured bacterium. RNAcentral describes it as "partial 16S ribosomal RNA". It matches the Rfam family "Bacterial small subunit ribosomal RNA", at positions 524 to 776 of the family's 1533-position model. The record is from RNAcentral.
UACGUAGGUGACAAGCGUUGUCCGGAUUUACUGGGCGUAAAGAGCGCGCAGGCGGUCGUUCAAGUCGAGUGUGAAAGCCCCCGGCUCAACUGGGGAGGGUCACUCGAUACUGAUCGACUCGAAGGCAGGAGAGGGUAGUGGAAUUCCCGGUGUAGUGGUGAAAUGCGUAGAUAUCGGGAGGAACACCAGUGGCGAAGGCGACUACCUGGCCCGAUACUGACGCUGAGGCACGAAAGCGUGGGGAGCAAACAGG